Long non-coding RNA from Trifolium pratense (red clover), 278 nucleotides. RefSeq lists it as uncharacterized. The transcript has 2 exons. The record is from RefSeq and is a predicted model, not a curated record. NCBI's taxonomy places the organism in Eukaryota, Viridiplantae, Streptophyta, Magnoliopsida, Fabales, Fabaceae.
GAAAGAUGAACCAAGUAUAACUAUUGAUGAUUGAUGAGAUCUGCCGUCUGUUGUUUUGGGGAUUUCAAGUGUUACAAUGGAGGCAUCAAGCAGGAGUGACUAUUUUCCUUCAGUUUUCAAUUAGUUAAUUAUAUACAUUACUGUUUUGUUUUUGAAUCGGUUGGUUGUAUUAGAUUUUUGGUUGUACUUUUAAUAUUGGUUUGGACUAUUAAAUUUCUUUUUUAUAUUUUGAACAAGUUAAAGUUCUUAUUCAAUAUCAUCUGGGUUUAUUUUAUGGA